UACGCCGUAAACGAUGGAUACUAGCCUUCGGAGGUGUCGACCCCUUCGGUAGCGAAGCUAACGCGUUAAGUAUCCCGCCUGUGUAGUACGAGCGCAAGCUUAAAACAUAAAGGAAUUGACGGGGACCCGCACAAGCGGUGGAGCGUGUUCUUUAAUUCGAGGCUAAGCGAAGAACCUUACCAGGGCUUGAAAUCCUGCGAAGGUUUGUGAAAGCAGACUGUGCCUUUUAGGAACGCAGUGACAGGUGU
Molecule: ribosomal RNA, 248 nt
Filed under: uncultured bacterium
Lineage: Bacteria
Description: partial 16S ribosomal RNA
Rfam family: Bacterial small subunit ribosomal RNA
Source: RNAcentral